This 400-nucleotide ribosomal RNA is filed under the name uncultured bacterium. RNAcentral's name for it is "bacterial SSU rRNA". It matches the Rfam family "Bacterial small subunit ribosomal RNA", at positions 363 to 759 of the family's 1533-position model. The record is from RNAcentral.
AGUCGACCGGGCGAAGCCUGACCGCAAUGCCGCCGUGCAGGAAGAAGGCCUUCGGGUUGUAAACUGCUUUUGUACGGAACGAAACGGCCUUUUCUAAUAAAGAGGGCUAAUGACGGUACCGUAAGAAUAAGCACCGGCUAACUACGUGCCAGCAGCCGCGGUAAUACGUAGGGUGCGAGCGUUAAUCGGAAUUACUGGGCGUAAAGCGUGCGCAGGCGGUUCUAUAAGACAGAUGUGAAAUCCCCGGGCUCAACCUGGGAAUGGCAUUUGUGACUGUAGAGCUAGAGUACGGUAGAGGGGGAUGGAAUUCCGCGUGUAGCAGUGAAAUGCGUAGAUAUGCGGAGGAACACCGAUGGCGAAGGCAAUCCCCUGGACCUGUACCGACGCUCAUGCACGAAAG